Long non-coding RNA from Acipenser ruthenus (sterlet), 1192 nucleotides. RefSeq lists it as uncharacterized. NCBI's taxonomy places the organism in Eukaryota, Metazoa, Chordata, Actinopteri, Acipenseriformes, Acipenseridae. The record is from RefSeq and is a predicted model, not a curated record. The transcript has 2 exons.
CAUUUUUCUAUAACUUUGCCUUUGUGUGGUUUUCUCUCUCUCGCUCUGUUUUUUAGGGGAGGAUAAAGCGAUUCAAGUGAGAUUACUUUAUGGUUUCCUUGCCUUUGUGAUCCUCACCAUCUUCCCUAUAAUUCUUCACUGCAAUUCCUGGAAAUCAAAUAGUAAAGGAAAACAGAGGACUUACUUGGAGAUGAAAAUGAGAAAAAAGGAGAAUGAACGUUUCAUCGAGGAGCAAAUCUGAACACAUGCACGUUUUUGUCAUUCGGGACUGAGCUUACAAUUCAGGAAGAGAUGAGGUGUUUCUUGCUCACAUAAUACCAUUACAAUAGCUGUAUUCUUCUUUCAAAAUUAGCCUUUACCUUUGCAGUUGGUUUCUCUUAUUUAUAUAUAUAUAUAUAUAAUUAUUAUUAUUUUUUUAUAUAGACAACUAUAAAACUAUAACUCAGCAGACCAAACCACAUAGCUGGUAGUAAUAACCAUUUACUUUCGUUCUUGCAACACAACACACUUUAAUACCUACAUCAAAUAAAACAAUACAAAUAAUGAUAAUAGAAAUAACAUACAAUAAUGAGCUGCAACUCACCCUGUAGGAAUUACAUUGCCUGUGUUAUGCAUUAUAAAUUAUGCAUGAGAAAUCAACCAAUCACCUUUAAGGAUUUUUCAACAUUCCAGGCCCUUAUCUUGGAUGUCAUGCUGUGCAUCGUUCUAAAAACAAACAACCUUUUUUUUUGUUGUUGAUAGGAGUUCCUGAGGACAAUAUCAUUUCUGUAUUUUCUAGUAAGUUCAUAAGUUGGACAGCAAUCAAUUUAGAAUAUAUUAUUGCUGAAAUCUAAGAAAGCUAUUGUAAUUAUUGUAAAUAGUAUUGUAAGCUAUGAAUUUAAUCUAAAACCACUUCCACAUGUGAUCAGAGUGGUUAAGCUGAUUUUUUCAAUAGCAUUGGCUUUUUAUAUUGAUGCUAUAAAUUGUUUAAGUAUUAUUGUAUUGUUUUCAGUGCAUGUGAGUUCAAUGUAAGUUAAACAUCUACUUAAUGUUUUAUAAAGUUUAUUUUGCUUUUUUACUGCCCAUUGUUAAUGAAUGUGUGAUUACUGUUGACUGCUGUAUCUCUGUAUUUCCCCUUACUGUAUUAUUGCAAAUAAUUAUACAUUUGUAUUGUUUGUGUACCACAAUUAAAAGAUGCCUUUGUAAUCUGUAA